AUUGAACGCUGGCGGCAUGCCUUACACAUGCAAGUCGAACGGCAGCACGGGAGCAAUCCUGGUGGCGAGUGGCGAACGGGUGAGUAAUAUAUCGGAACGUGCCCGGUCGUGGGGAUAACGUAGCGAAAGCUACGCUAAUACCGCAUACGAUCUACGGAUGAAAGCGGGGGAUCGCAAGACCUCGCGCGAUUGGAGCGGCCGAUAUCAGAUUAGGUAGUUGGUGAGGUAAAGGCUCACCAAGCCGACGAUCUGUAGCUGGUCUGAGAGGACGACCAGCCACACUGGGACUGAGACACGGCCCAGACUCCUACGGGAGGCAGCAGUGGGGUAUUUUGGACAAUGGGCGCAAGCCUGAUCCAGCAAUGCCGCGUGCAGGAUGAAGGCCU
Molecule: ribosomal RNA, 386 nt
Filed under: uncultured bacterium
Lineage: Bacteria
Description: bacterial SSU rRNA
Rfam family: Bacterial small subunit ribosomal RNA
Source: RNAcentral